Molecule: transfer RNA, 86 nt
Filed under: Clostridiales bacterium
Lineage: Bacteria; Bacillati; Bacillota; Clostridia; Eubacteriales
Description: tRNA-Ser
Rfam family: tRNA
About the family: Transfer RNA (tRNA) molecules are approximately 80 nucleotides in length. Their secondary structure includes four short double-helical elements and three loops (D, anti-codon, and T loops). Further hydrogen bonds mediate the characteristic L-shaped molecular structure. tRNAs have two regions of fundamental functional importance: the anti-codon, which is responsible for specific mRNA codon recognition, and the 3' end, to which the tRNAs corresponding amino acid is attached (by aminoacyl-tRNA synthetases). tRNAs cope with the degeneracy of the genetic code in two manners: having more than one tRNA (with a specific anti-codon) for a particular amino acid; and 'wobble' base-pairing, i.e. permitting non-standard base-pairing at the 3rd anti-codon position.
Source: RNAcentral
GGAUGAUUGACGUAACGGUAUCGUAGCGGUUUGCUAAACCGUCCGAGAGCAAUCUCGUGCAAGUUCGACCCUUGCAUCAUCCGCCA